RNAcentral lists this long non-coding RNA (699 nucleotides) under Daucus carota (carrot). RNAcentral describes it as "long non-coding RNA (DCAR_LNC003633)". The record is from RNAcentral. Lineage: Eukaryota; Viridiplantae; Streptophyta; Magnoliopsida; Apiales; Apiaceae.
UAUAAUUGACCACGAAUCUGGUCUGACCACGAAUCUGGUCCACAUAUUUUAUAAAAACUAAUCCAAUUCUAACAAUUUAAAUCAACAGACAAUUGAAUCAACAGAACAGAAUCAUAAUCAUUAUCCGCAACAGAAAUAUUUCAAAUCAACUUUUGGGAAUCAACAUUUCAUAAACCACAGUCUGUCUUUUGAUAAAUCAUAGUUCAGGAAAUUCCUAACUAUUCAGUAUCCUCCAUUAUCGGCUAAGCAACUGAAUUUAGCCUGCUAAACCAGCAUGACAAUGGCGGGUUGAAUAAUCAAGAAGAUCCCAUUUCAUUCUAGGCUCUAACUAUCACUGAGCAACACAUGCUUCAAUGACGGUCUGAACUUCGAAUUAAUUUGUAGAACUGGUAUUUUUAAAAUCUUGAGGAUUGGAAAGAAUGGAUCAAAAUAGAAAGUUGAGAGUAAAUAGGUGUUUGGCUUUUCAAAACUUGGAAGAAGAAACAAUCAUGGGAUUCAAUCUCAGAAGUAAGAGUUUGUUUGAGAAGGGUCUUAGCAUAAACAAUAUCAUAAUCUUGACAGAAUAAUCAGAACAUGCAAUAUAUAUAUGAGGAAGGAUUUAGGAAUACUUGCCUUAAAUCCGAUUCCACACACAGCUUAAUCUUAUCUUUCCACUUUCACAAUCUAUAUAUGUAUAUCAUAGUCUCUAGACCAUCCCGG